RNAcentral lists this ribosomal RNA (196 nucleotides) under uncultured bacterium. RNAcentral's name for it is "partial 16S ribosomal RNA". It matches the Rfam family "Bacterial small subunit ribosomal RNA", at positions 337 to 525 of the family's 1533-position model. The record is from RNAcentral.
UCCUACGGGAGGCAGCAGUCCGGAAUAUUGGACAAUGGGGGCAACCCUGAUCCAGCCAUGCCGCGUGUGUGUUGAAGGUCUUCGGAUUGUAAACCACUUUAAGUUGGGAGGAAGGGCAGUAAGUUAAUACCUUGCUGUUUUGACGUUACCGACAGAAUAAGCACCGGCUAACUCUGUGCCAGCAGCCGCGGUAAUA